GUGCGUCCCUCCCAAAGCUGCGCGCUCUGUCGAAUAGAGGCGGACCGGUCUUGGGUCAAGGGUGUGUGGGUAGCUGCGCCCCCUGCUCGAACCUCCAAACCAGCUCUCAAGAAUGGAGGGCGCACCAGGGCCUCUGGCCACUGCAAGCAAACCCCAGACACAUGCACCACCUUGUGCAUUUGGUUCCAUGU
Molecule: small RNA, 191 nt
Filed under: Jaculus jaculus (lesser Egyptian jerboa)
Lineage: Eukaryota; Metazoa; Chordata; Mammalia; Rodentia; Dipodidae
Description: 7SK RNA (ENSJJAG00000006894.1)
Rfam family: 7SK RNA
About the family: 7SK was discovered as an abundant small nuclear RNA in the mid-70s but a possible function has only recently been suggested. Two independent studies have found that 7SK RNA binds the CDK9/cyclin T complex (known as elongation factor P-TEFb).
Source: RNAcentral